Molecule: long non-coding RNA, 1105 nt
Filed under: Equus caballus (horse)
Lineage: Eukaryota; Metazoa; Chordata; Mammalia; Perissodactyla; Equidae
Description: lncRNA (ENSECAG00000047919.1)
Source: RNAcentral
UGACCUCUGUGCUAAGUGCUCAUUCCUGGAACAGGAAGCAUUUCAAGAGAGACUUGAGUGGAAGUGUUCCUGAUGCUAAUGGCACAGGAGGAGCUGGGGCAUUUGGGCAGAUGGCCUGGCAUCACAAAGGGGUGCGUGUCAGCCAUUGUCCUGUCUGCAGGGAUGGGUGGAAAAGCAUCCUGCAGGGCUGCGGAAGGGGAAAAGAGUGAAGAAUUACUUACUGUCAGCUGAGGUUUGGGAGGGUCACCAAGCUUAAGAAGGUACAUCUAGAAUCAAGUUAAGUCUAAAACUAAUCUGUGUGGCAAAUGGUCAAUGCAAAGCCUGGCUGUUACCACAAGGGAGGGCAAUCUCAAAGCAAGCUGGUUCCAAAUCACUUGCAAAUCCAAGGGCAGAACAGUUCAGGGAAGUUCAACAGGAAGCGGGCCGGGAGUAAUACAGAAGCCAGCAAACGCAACCUGCACGUCUCGUCUUUACCCAGCCCCUACCAUUUAGGAGAUGAGCAUCCUGAGGGAGAAGGAGCCUGGCACCUCAGUAAGGACCUGUGGUUCAGUGUAACUAGACAGGGUUCUGGAUGGUGAGAGGUGGUGUUAGUGACGGAGGAGCAGGGCCACAUGAAGAGCUUUGAUUAACAUUUGGCUGGCCACAACAGGAGGGUUAAGGCAGAGAUUCUUCAGCCAGAAUUUAAAAAUCAGCAUCUGAAGGCCAAGGGUGGACAUGUGUACAAGUGCCAGUGGAAAAUGGCUUUUCUGGAAUAUCAGGUUUGGUCCUAAGAGACUAAGGGCACUCCACGUGGUGAGCAAUAAAUCUGGAUUCUGCUGUGUUUAAUUAAGCGUGUCACCAGCAUGGAAUGCGACCAUGGAUUGGCCUGUGACGAGCCUCCUUCUCCUAGAGAGAGAAGUUCUAGCCUCGUCUUCUGCUCCUGUGGAGUUUUCCAUUGCUUGGAAAUGGUUUGUAAGGUGAUGGAGUCCCAUGGAUGCCAGCUGGCAAAGGAAGAUCAGAGAAGGAGGAGAAGUUGAGUCAGUGGAGGGGAAAGAUUGCUGGAUGAUAUUUUCUUCACAGCUGUAGUGUCAAUAAAUAAAGACUUUGAUCACCCAUAAAGACCAAG